RNAcentral lists this ribosomal RNA (448 nucleotides) under uncultured bacterium. RNAcentral describes it as "bacterial SSU rRNA". It matches the Rfam family "Bacterial small subunit ribosomal RNA", at positions 355 to 825 of the family's 1533-position model. The record is from RNAcentral.
CAGGGAAUCUUGCACAAUGGGCGAAAGCCUGAUGCGGCGACGCCGCGUGGGGGAUGAAGGCCCUAGGGUCGUAAACCCCUUUCAGCAGGGACGAAGAUGACGGUACCUGCAGAAGAAGCCCCGGCCAACUACGUGCCAGCAGCCGCGGUAAGACGUAGGGGGCGAGCGUUGUCCGGAUUUAUUGGGCGUAAAGAGCUCGUAGGCGGUUGCGUAAGUCGGAUGUGAAAACUCAGGGCUCAACCCUGAGACGCCAUCCGAUACUGCGCUGACUUGAAUCCAGUAGGGGAGUGCGGAAUUCCUGGUGUAGCGGUGAAAUGCGCAGAUAUCAGGAGGAACACCCAUGGCGAAGGCAGCACUCUGGGCUGGUAUUGACGCUGAGGAGCGAAAGCAUGGGUAGCGAACAGGAUUAGAUACCCAUGUAGUCCCUGAGCGGGCUGGCAAGGCGCAU